Molecule: long non-coding RNA, 1251 nt
Filed under: Nicotiana tabacum (common tobacco)
Lineage: Eukaryota; Viridiplantae; Streptophyta; Magnoliopsida; Solanales; Solanaceae
Description: long non-coding RNA (NTAB_LNC018892)
Source: RNAcentral
AGCCUCCCUUCCGUCCUACUCAACUCACAUACCGACGUUGUCCCUUCCGAGCAUCACAAGUGGGCCCACCCACCUUUCUCCGCCCACUUAGAUCCCGCUAGCGGCAACAUCUACGCCCGGGGUUCUCAGGACAUGAAGUGCGUGGGCUUGCAGUACCUGGAGGCCAUUCGCAAGCUCAAGGCUUCUGGCUUCCAACCAACGCGCACUGUCUACCUCUCCUUCGUCCCCGACGAGGAAAUCGGCGGAGACGAUGGUGCCGGAAAGUUUGUCGAUUCCGAUGUCUUCGUGAAGAUGAAUGUUGGGAUUGUACUUGACGAGGGCUUGCCUUCUCCCACCGAAAACUAUCGUGCAUUCUAUGGGGAGAGGUCCCCCUGGUGGCUGGUCGUUAAAGCUGUAGGUGCUCCUGGACACGGGGCUAAGCUCUAUGAUAAUACUGCCACGGAGAAUCUACUUAAAAGCAUCGAAACUAUAAGGAGAUUCAGGGCUGCGCAGUUCGAUUUAGUUAAGGCGGGAUUGAAAGCUGAAGGCGAGGUCAUUUCUGUUAAUAUGGUCUUCUUGAAAGCUGGCACCCCUUCUCCCUCUGUAAGUCAGGCUAUUCUGACCUUUUUUUAUGUUAAAAGAAAACUUGAAUUUUGCGCUUCCCUUCGUGAUAUUUUGUAGCAAUGAGAACUUUGUGGCUCAUCUAGUCCUCCCUGUAGUAUUCCUUGUCUGACGAAUUCUUGGAGUCUUUGAUUGAGCUUAAUCAUUCGUUGCCAUCAAGUGCUGUAGUAGUAACCUUAUGCACUAAUUUAUGGUUUUUACAAAUUCUGUAAAGUAUAAUUUUUUCUGAGAGAAGAGCUUAGAUGCUUUUCAUAAAGUAACAAAAGAGCUUAAAUGUUACUGUAGUUUAGUGAAUGGAGAUAAAUUUGACUAUUGGAGUAUAUGAAUUGGAACAUUUCAUUACGCAGUUCAUCUUAAUAUGCUUUUUUCUGCUGUUCCUGAGGUUCAAUCUAACAAACAUUUGGAGAGCGAUUGAUAGAAGAUUUAGGGUGUUUUCCGCAUAUAUUCCUCUUUAUUCGGCGGAACAACCCUUUCUUGUCAAACAGUAGCGCCCUUAUUCAUGCAGUUGAGAUAAGUUUAAGACAUGGACUUCUUUAUUUCUGUGGCAGGGUUUUGUCAUGAACCUGCAGCCAUCUGAAGCCCAAGCAGGAUUUGACAUCAGAGUACCGCCAACUGCAGAUCAAGCAUCCUUGGAGAAGAGAAUAGCUGAGG